GGAUUCUUUUGUUUUCCGUGUCCGGUAGUACUUAGUUUUGCUGGUACAAAACACAUACUGUGGUUUCAUCAAUUAAAUAGUAAAGGGACAGGAUAACACGGAUAAACUAGCUAUCCUUAAAUAAUUAACUUACUUCCCAGUUGAAGAAAGUACAACGGCAUAUCGGUUCUUAGGUUGACAAGUGAAAUACUUUACUUUGUG
This 201-nucleotide long non-coding RNA is filed under the name Mytilus galloprovincialis (Mediterranean mussel). The record is from RNAcentral. Lineage: Eukaryota; Metazoa; Mollusca; Bivalvia; Mytilida; Mytilidae.